AAAAAUCCAUUACCAUGUCAUUCUACUAGUCCAGUAGGGAACAUCUAAUUAGACAAUUGUCUGACGCUUGACAAUUCUCUCCUAAACUGACAGGGUAAACUGUAAUGGGGUGAGCAUAUGAUUUGUUUCAACUGGGAUGUCGAUCGACAAAUUUGCAAGGAAAGUUUAGGCCGUGCUGACAUAGCAUAUAUGUAGAAUCUGAAUGGCUCGAAUUAAUCUGCUGACGUGAAUACCCUCUACUCUUUGUUGAGUAUAUUCUCUUUUUUUAGUAUUGUUAGAUUAGAUUCAUUUUUUUUAACAUCUCAAAUCAAAUACGUAUUAUUUAUUCUAUUCGUAUUGUAAAGAACAUGUUUUUUUGGUAGGUACAACAAGAAGUUGU
This 379-nucleotide long non-coding RNA is filed under the name Brassica napus (rape). Its description in RNAcentral is "long non-coding RNA (BNAP_LNC012331)". Lineage: Eukaryota; Viridiplantae; Streptophyta; Magnoliopsida; Brassicales; Brassicaceae. The record is from RNAcentral.